This 721-nucleotide ribosomal RNA is filed under the name Verrucomicrobiota bacterium. Its description in RNAcentral is "bacterial SSU rRNA". It matches the Rfam family "Bacterial small subunit ribosomal RNA", at positions 28 to 724 of the family's 1533-position model. Lineage: Bacteria; Pseudomonadati; Verrucomicrobiota. The record is from RNAcentral.
AACGAACGCUGGCGGCGUGGAUAAGACAUGCAAGUUGAACGGUUGAUUCAGGGUAGCAAUAUUCUGGGUUAGCAGUGGCGUAAGGGUGCUUAACACGUGGGUAAUCUGCCGCGAAGUGUGGGAUAACUCGCUGAAAGGCGAGCUAAUACCGCAUGUGAUCUUCUUGAGGCAUCUCAAGGAAUUCAAACAUGGGUCGCAAGACCUGUGGUUUCGCGAUGAGCCCGCGGCCUAUCAGCUAGUUGGCGGGGUAAAAGCCCACCAAGGCUAAGACGGGUAGCUGGUCUGAGAGGACGACCAGCCACACUGGAACUGAGACACGGUCCAGACACCUACGGGUGGCAGCAGUCGAGAAUUUUUCACAAUGGGGGAAACCCUGAUGGAGCGACGCCGCGUGGGGGAUGAAGGGCUUCGGUUCGUAAACCCCUGUCAUUGGCGAACAAGUGUUGCGCUCUAAUACAGUGUAACUUGAUAGUAGCCGAAGAGGAAGGGACGGCUAACUCUGUGCCAGCAGCCGCGGUAAUACAGAGGUCCCGAGCGUUGUUCGGAUUCACUGGGCGUAAAGGGUGCGUAGGUGGUUGGUUAAGUUUGAGGUGAAAGCUCCGAGCUCAACUCGGAAAAUGCCUUGAAGACUAUCUGACUAGAGGAUUGGAGGGGAGAUUGGAAUUCUCGGUGUAGCAGUGAAAUGCGUAGAUAUCGAGAGGAACACCAGUGGCGAAGGCGA